Molecule: small nuclear RNA, 162 nt
Organism: Apodemus sylvaticus (European woodmouse)
Lineage: Eukaryota; Metazoa; Chordata; Mammalia; Rodentia; Muridae
Product: U1 spliceosomal RNA
Exons: 1
Source: RefSeq, a predicted model, not a curated record
AUACUUACCUGGCACGGGAGGUGCUAUGAACACGAAGGUGAUUUUCCCAGGGCAAGGCUUACCAUUGCACUCUGGGUAUGCUGAUCCUAAGAUUUCCCCAAAUGCAGGAAACUUGACUGCAUAAUUCAUGAUAGUGGGGGACUGGGAUCUUGCUCUUCCCUG